GACCUGACAUUGCCUUCGCUGUAGGGCAAGCGUCCCAGUUUUGUCAAAAUCUUGGUGAUGGACACUGGAACGGUGUAAAGAGGAUCUUUGCCUACCUAGCUGGAUCUACCCACCUUGGCCUUUGUUUUGAUGGACAGCAGAGUAACAAUCUAAUAGGAUUCACUGACUCAGACUUUGCAGGGAACAUGGAUAACCGCCGGUCAACCAGUGGCUUCGUUUUCCUGUUUAAUGGAGCCCCAGUAUCAUGGAGCAGCAAACUUCAACAAUGCGUCUCCCUUUCAACAACCGAAGCCGAAUUCGUGGCAGCCAGCGAAACGUCAAAAGAAGCUAUUUGGCUGCAGCAACUUCUGAAAGAAGUAAAAGGCGAUGACAUCGGUCCAGUUCCUAUACUCUGUGAUAACCAAGGAGCCAUCCGACUAAUCAAGAAUCCAGAGUUCCACCAACGCACCAAGCAUAUAGCGGUCAAGUAUCACUUCGUUCGACACCAACAGCUCAACGGCAACAUCGAGGUGUCAUAUGUCUCAACGGAAAACCAGUUGGCUGAUAUUCUGACAAAACCAGUUCCAGGACCUCGGUUCAUUCUCCUGCGUGAACAGAUUGGAAUAAAAUCACUUCCUCAAACCCACACAGUUUGAGAGGAGGUGUUGGAGAUAUUGUCAAACCGUGGUGGUUGCGUAACCCUACCCAACUGUUUAGCACCACCUUCUCUGUUCUCAUCCCUUUAAGUGCUGUCAAUGUCUGAUGUGUAUGACUGUCUGGUGCUCUACUUGAUGAUAGUGAUUUGUACUGACAGACAUGUCGUAACUAGAUAUAAAGACUGCUUUCCUGUACGGCGAAAUAGAAGAAGAAAUUUAUCUCGAGCAACCCGAAGGAUAUAUCCAAGCCGGAAAAGAAAAUUCCGUAUGCCGCCUCCAGAAAUGUUUGUAUGGCCUCAAACAAGCUUCACGAGUCUGGAACCGUCAUUUUGAUAGUUUCCUCAAACGUUUUGGCCUCCAAUCAAGUGACGCCGAUCCGUGCCUUUAUUUCCGUCGAAACAACAAAGAAGUUCUUUUCGUCCUAAUCUGGGUUGAUGAUGGAUUGGUUAUCAGUGUUGACGGGAAUCUGGUAAAACAAGUAAUUGAAUAUUUGAAGAAAUAUUUUGAAAUGCGGUGCACCCCUGCUAAUCAUUUUGUUGGCAUCUCCAUUACAAGAAACAGAAGAGACAAAAUUCUUUACUUAUCCCAACCAGAUUACAUUAAGAAAAUUCUAAAGAAAUUCCACAUAAUAGACUGUCAUCCUAAAAACCUUCCAGCUGAACCCGGAUGUCGUCUUAUUCAAAAUGUUGGUGAAGACCCCCUAGACAAUGUGCCAUAUAGAGAGGCAAUUGGAAGCCUGCUAUACUUGACAAUUAUAUCUAGGCCGGACAUCGCAUUUGCAGUUGGUCAAGCGGCACAGUUCUCUGAAAAACCCCAGAAACAUCAUUGGAUUGCAGUUCGAAGAAUUUUUUCAUACCUUAAAGGGACGCAAGACUAUGGCAUACGCUUUGGCAUCAAUCACGAUCGUCUUAAAAGAUACUCAGAUUCAGAUUUCGCCGGUGACUUAAAUUCCCGAAGAUCAACCACGGCUUUCAUCUUCAUCCUAAAUGGUGGGCCAGUAGCAUGGACCAGUCGCAGACAACCAUGUGUUACAUUGUCCUCAACAGAAUCGGAAUUUGUGGCUGCGUGUGAAGCCGCCAAAGAGGCAAUCUGGUUAAAACGCUUGAUGAAGGAUGUCAUACCGGAAUGGGAUGAAACUAUUCCUCUAAUGUGCGACAAUCAAUCUACUAUCCAGCUCAUCAGAAAUCCUGUAUUCCAUCAACGGACCAAACACAUUGAUGUCAAAUAUUACUUUGUUCGCGAGAGACAAGAAGCUGGGGACAUUGACGUCUCGUAUAUCUCAACAAAUGAUCAACUAGCAGAUCCUCUAACAAAAAUUCUUCCUAAUCCACGAUUUUCUAUCCUACGGGAGUUAAUGGGAAUUUUACCUGUCCCAUUAGAGCACAAUUAAUUUUCUUCUCUAAUUCUUUAGAUUAAAACUUACAUCUGUUCGAAGGAUACUCAGACUGCCCUACAUCCCAUUAGAUGAAAUAAUGAGAAGAAACCUUGCAACAAUAAUUUACUUAAUUUUAUUUUUGUCACUGAUUUCUUUUUCAUCUUCAUACAUGUUUGAGAGGGAGUGUUGAGGGAAAACAAACAUGUAAAAGUAAACUGGCCACCAGGUGGUACCAACCACCAGGUAGCACUGACUUAUGUAGGCUAACUAGAAGUAUCUUAGGAUACUGUUUAGCUACCUCCUCUCUCUCUCAUCUCUUGUCACUUGUGUUAGUAACGACGUAAAUCUAUUCUCUCGUCACGUCACUGCCAAAUACAAGUGUCAUAUUUUCUACAUUAUCUGGUAUCUGUCCUUAUCUUUGUUCGUGUGUUUCCUGAUUUUCGGCAACAGCCGCAAAUGGAACCGGGCCAAACCCGAAGAGAACUAGGCUCCACCCCUUUCAAGGGCAAGAUGUGGGGGAAACCGGCGAAAAGCAGGAAAACGGGGCUGUGAUUGCAUAGUAGUUCUUGACCUACUGUGCAAAUUUGAAUAAAAUCGGAGGUUUCAUCGCGCCACCGAUUUGUGGAGUUGGCGCGGAUUGACCCAUCAACCCUACUCUACUCUCCAGAUUUGCUUCGCACUCACCUCAAUGAAUGCAUAGCGAAAGGUUAUCUUUCUCCGUUUCCUUCAACUAUCUGUCGCAUUAAGAGAGCUCGAAAAGAGUCAGUUCUUUCCGAGUCGGUCUUUUGCCAAUGUCGUAGAACAUCGUACAUGUUACCAGCAAAAGGAUGGACCAUGGUGGAAUGUGAAAUUUGCAAGGAAUGGUUUCAUUCGAUGUGUGUUGACAAUUUCCCUGAAAAUGAGAAUGAAACAUGGUUAUGUAAGUCUUGUAAAUGAUAAAUGUAAUAUCUUUGUAAACUUUUGUUGGAAUGAGAAGAUGUAGCUGCAUACUCAGAGCAAUGCUUGCACAUUGUACAAAAAGUAUUUGCCAAUACCUUUCUUACUGUUUAAACUUCUCGUCACACUUGUUCUAUGUUAGUCAAAGUCAAACACCUGUAGGGGAGAACGGGGUCAACUUGGACACGGGUCAUAUUGGACAAAGACCCUAAGUGCUACAUGUUAUGAAAAAAAAAAUUUUUUUUUUAAUUUUUGUAUA
Molecule: long non-coding RNA, 3205 nt
Filed under: Daphnia magna
Lineage: Eukaryota; Metazoa; Arthropoda; Branchiopoda; Diplostraca; Daphniidae
Description: uncharacterized LOC123471598, transcript variant X2
Source: RNAcentral